Molecule: ribosomal RNA, 1515 nt
Filed under: Bacillus sp. JAN-4
Lineage: Bacteria; Bacillati; Bacillota; Bacilli; Caryophanales; Bacillaceae
Description: bacterial SSU rRNA
Rfam family: Bacterial small subunit ribosomal RNA
Source: RNAcentral
UAGAGUUUGAUCCUGGCUCAGGACGAACGCUGGCGGCGUGCCUAAUACAUGCAAGUCGAGCGAUGUCUUUGGGGGCUUGCCCCCAAAGAUGUAGCGGCGGACGGGUGAGUAACACGUGGGCAACCUGCCUGUAAGACUGGGAUAACUUCGGGAAACCGGAGCUAAUACCGGAUAAUCCUUUUCCUCACAUGAGGAAAAGCUGAAAGAUGGCGUCACGCUAUCACUUACAGAUGGGCCCGCGGCGCAUUAGCUAGUUGGUGAGGUAACGGCUCACCAAGGCAACGAUGCGUAGCCGACCUGAGAGGGUGAUCGGCCACACUGGGACUGAGACACGGCCCAGACUCCUACGGGAGGCAGCAGUAGGGAAUCUUCCGCAAUGGACGAAAGUCUGACGGAGCAACGCCGCGUGAGUGAUGAAGGUUUUCGGAUCGUAAAACUCUGUUGUUAGGGAAGAACAAGUACCGGAGUAACUGCCGGUACCUUGACGGUACCUAACCAGAAAGCCACGGCUAACUACGUGCCAGCAGCCGCGGUAAUACGUAGGUGGCAAGCGUUGUCCGGAAUUAUUGGGCGUAAAGCGCGCGCAGGUGGUUUCUUAAGUCUGAUGUGAAAGCCCCCGGCUCAACCGGGGAGGGUCAUUGGAAACUGGGAGACUUGAGUGCAGAAGAGGAAAGUGGAAUUCCAAGUGUAGCGGUGAAAUGCGUAGAGAUUUGGAGGAACACCAGUGGCGAAGGCGACUUUCUGGUCUGUAACUGACACUGAGGCGCGAAAGCGUGGGGAGCGAACAGGAUUAGAUACCCUGGUAGUCCACGCCGUAAACGAUGAGUGCUAAGUGUUAGGGGGUUUCCGCCCCUUAGUGCUGCAGCUAACGCAUUAAGCACUCCGCCUGGGGAGUACGGCCGCAAGGCUGAAACUCAAAGGAAUUGACGGGGGCCCGCACAAGCGGUGGAGCAUGUGGUUUAAUUCGAAGCAACGCGAAGAACCUUACCAGGUCUUGACAUCCUCUGACAAUCCUAGAGAUAGGACGUUUCCCUUCGGGGAACAGAGUGACAGGUGGUGCAUGGUUGUCGUCAGCUCGUGUCGUGAGAUGUUGGGUUAAGUCCCGCAACGAGCGCAACCCUUGAUCUUAGUUGCCAGCAUUCAGUUGGGCACUCUAAGGUGACUGCCGGUGACAAACCGGAGGAAGGUGGGGAUGACGUCAAAUCAUCAUGCCCCUUAUGACCUGGGCUACACACGUGCUACAAUGGAUGGUACAAAGGGCUGCAAGACCGCGAGGUUUAGCCAAUCCCAUAAAACCAUUCUCAGUUCGGAUUGCAGGCUGCAACUCGCCUGCAUGAAGCCGGAAUCGCUAGUAAUCGCGGAUCAGCAUGCCGCGGUGAAUACGUUCCCGGGCCUUGUACACACCGCCCGUCACACCACGAGAGUUUGUAACACCCGAAGUCGGUGGGGUAACCGUAAGGAGCCAGCCGCCUAAGGUGGGACAGAUGAUUGGGGUGAAGUCGUAACAAGGUAACC